UACGUAGGGUGCAAGCGUUAAUCGGAAUUACUGGGCGUAAAGCGUGCGCAGGUGGUUAUACAAGACCGACGUGAAAGCCCCGGGCUCAACCUGGGAAUGGCGUUGGUGACUGUAUGGCUAGAGUGUGGCAGAGGGGGGUGGAAUUCCACGUGUAGCAGUGAAAUGCGUAGAGAUGUGGAGGAACACCGAUGGCGAAGGCAGCCCCCUGGGCUAACACUGACACUCAUGCACGAAAGCGUGGGGAGCAAACAGG
Molecule: ribosomal RNA, 253 nt
Filed under: uncultured bacterium
Lineage: Bacteria
Description: partial 16S ribosomal RNA
Rfam family: Bacterial small subunit ribosomal RNA
Source: RNAcentral